AAGGGGUGACCCAUAGAAUACGUCGCAUGACGGAUUGCUUUUUGACAGCUCACUUCAAAUUCCAAGGUGUGUUCGAUAUUUUAUCGCUGAAUGUGCACUAAGGAAGUUCUGAUGCAAGAAAUUUUUAACUAUUAUUGUUGUUCUUUUUUUUUAAUAAAAUAAAGUGCAAGAUAAACUUCCUCUAGGUACUUGCUCUUCAGUUAAAAACAAUUUUUUAUGACAAAUUAUGAGUUGUAUGUAUGACUUUGGCAUAGUAAAAUUGAACUCUACAACAGAAUUUGAGUAUUUAAUUGAUAUAAUUUAUUAGAUAUAUCAUUAAAUGUUACUUUUAUUACAUUUUCUUCACAAAUAUACAAUUAAAGUUCACAAUUCAUAAUAUCGGAGAAGAAAAGAACACAGUUCUUAGCUCUGCAAUUCCCCGUUGUGCACUCAGAAACAGAAAAUCGAACUGAUCUAUUGUUGACAACCAAUGUCAAAGGAUACGACGGAUGAAAAAGUAGAAAGUUGGGCUACUUCUUCCGUCGAAUCCGUCCGUCUCCUUCCAAUCCGUCGCUUAUGGGUCGCUUCCCAUAAGAACGUGUGUAUUUUAUCGAGCUAUCAGUUGAAAACUUCGACGGAACGGACGCAACGGAUUCUAUGGGUUGGGAAAUUUUACUCAUACAAACAAAAUGAAACAAAAAUAUUGGGCGAAUUCACAAACGGCUACGUAGUCGACUCGUUCUGAUUGGCUGAGAAGAACUAAAAAAUUUGUUAAAAUUUCCCCUCCGACGUAGUGUAAAAAUGUUGGACUUCAAAGUUAUGUCGAUUUUUUGAACCGCCUCAAAAAAAUCGAAUUUUUGGUGUUAAAAAGGAACAUAAAAACAGACCGAAUUCUUUUUGCGAUUGUAUGUGUGUUAUUUGACAACAAUUUUUACACGAACGUCAAGCUGAAAUCAAAACAAUUUCUGCAAAAUAUUGGGUUUGGACCAGUUUUUAAUUUAUUGGGAAUAGAAGAAAACUACCGUUCAAUGCAUGGAAUUUCUUUAAAUGUGGAAAUGAGCUGGGAUGUUUUUCCAAUCACGCUAUGUGAUUGUUUUCCAUAUAUUCUUUGGAUGGGUUUUUAAAAUGAUCUCUCAUUAAAACUCAUAUUUUCAGCAUUUGCUUGGGAAAAAUAAAAGUAUGAUGGUAACUCACGUUACAAAAAUCGGACACGAGUUUUAAGAGUCCGACAGUAUGAAGUUUUUCUGCGAAAUUUAGAAUCUUAAUUUGUUUUUAAUGAAGAUUCCAUACAUACAAAAUUACAAGCUUUUAAUAUAACAUGGUGAUCUUGAAGACGCGGCAGGUUUUACAAAAAUGGACCCCAAAAGUAAUGAUGCAGGAAUGUUCGGACUGAUUUCAGGAUUCUAAAUAUGUAAACUUCAAAAUCGUACCUGAUCCCUUUUUUGAGGUAUAAGCAUUUUUGUAUACACGGGAGGGCAUGUCGAAAAAAGACAUUUUGAUUUUGUAUAUGUUUUUCGAAAGCUAUAAUAUUGUUCUUGAACUUAGUCUUUAGUUUAAGUUGGUUGAGCAAAUAUGUUCGGAGAAAUUUAAUUUCAAAAACAUCAUUUUAGAAAAAAAAAUUUUUUUUUUCUUCAAGUUUAUUUUUUUCCAUUUUUUUAAAUAAAGGGUACAAUUUUUUUUACAUAAUUCAAUGGUCUUAUAAAUUUCUAGUCGAAAACAAAAAACCACAUGCUUAUAAGUAUUUUCGUUUUUGAGAUUGGAGGAAAAAUGUAUCGCAUCCCCAGAAUUUUUUUUCCUCCUAGGACCUAUGGGCUCUGUUAUAGCUUUCAGUAAAAUCCAUCAGUAAACAUUUUGUUUAGCUAUUUUGAAUACUUUAAACAUUUAUUUUGAACAAAAUAUUGAUAAAAUAAGUUGGGAGCUUAUUUUAACUAUUUUUUUUUCAAAAAGAAGCAAUGCAUUUGGUGUUAAAUUUCAUUCACAAACCCAUUUUAUAAAUUUUACUGUUCAGUAAAAUAAAAUUUCAUCAGUAAAAUUUAUAAAAUGUAUUUGUGACUAAAAUGUAACACCAAAAGCGUUGCUUCUUUUUCAAAAAGUUAGUGAAAAUGUGUUU
Long non-coding RNA from Episyrphus balteatus (marmalade hoverfly), 2089 nucleotides. RefSeq lists it as uncharacterized. NCBI's taxonomy places the organism in Eukaryota, Metazoa, Arthropoda, Insecta, Diptera, Syrphidae. The record is from RefSeq and is a predicted model, not a curated record. The transcript is spliced from 3 exons.